This 497-nucleotide ribosomal RNA is filed under the name uncultured bacterium. RNAcentral describes it as "partial 16S ribosomal RNA". It matches the Rfam family "Bacterial small subunit ribosomal RNA", at positions 28 to 507 of the family's 1533-position model. The record is from RNAcentral.
GACGAACGCUGGCGGCGUGCCUAAUACAUGCAAGUAGAACGCUGAAGGGAGGAGCUUGCUCUUCUUGGAUGAGUUGCGAACGGGUGAGUAACGCGUAGGUAACCUGCCUUGUAGCGGGGGAUAACUAUUGGAAACGAUAGCUAAUACCGCAUAACAAUGGAUGACACAUGUCAUUUAUUUGAAAGGGGCAAUUGCUCCACUACAAGAUGGACCUGCGUUGUAUUAGCUAGUAGGUGAGGUAAUGGCUCACCUAGGCGACGAUACAUAGCCGACCUGAGAGGGGGAUCGGCCACACUGGGACUGAGACACGGCCCAGACUCCUACGGGAGGCAGCAGUAGGGAAUCUUCGGCAAUGGGGGCAACCCUGACCGAGCAACGCCGCGUGAGUGAAGAAGGUUUUCGGAUCGUAAAGCUCUGUUGUAAGUCAAGAACGGGUGUGAGAGUGGAAAGUUCACACUGUGACGGUAGCUUACCAGAAAGGGACGGCUAACUACGUG